AAAAAUAUUUGCUUCUUAUUGAUUAGCUUUUUUUUUUUUUAACACAAAACAGAGAUGUUCACUGUGACCUCAAGUGGAUUCUUCUCCACCAAUCCAAAAUUUUAUCCCAGGAGACACCAGCAAUCAUUUGCAGGAGAUAUUGAUCAACCAGAGAAUGCACAUUUCUGAACCAGAUCCCUGGUGAGGUUGAUGGGACAGUAGCAGGAAGCUUGUUUUGUGGAUUUGGAAAUGAAAACCCAAGAGAGUCUGAGAAGCCCUAUGUGCCACAAGUCCUCUGUCUGCCCCCGGCCACUGCCAGCAUCACGAGGCCAGCAAACAGACUCUGGAAAAAGAAGAACUCUCCUGUGGCUGCUGUCCAUACCACCUUGUGGUUGCAGAAGCAAAGCAGGGCUAGACCUGAUCUCUGGGUGCUCCAGAGGCCACCCCAGGGGACCGGGGUGCUUUGAAAUGGUGGGGCCUGUGACUCAUGUCCUGGCAUCCCCUCUUCUGAAACACCUGCCACCAUGA
RNAcentral lists this long non-coding RNA (507 nucleotides) under Sus scrofa (pig). RNAcentral describes it as "lncRNA (ENSSSCG00055028860.1)". The record is from RNAcentral. Lineage: Eukaryota; Metazoa; Chordata; Mammalia; Artiodactyla; Suidae.